This 482-nucleotide ribosomal RNA is filed under the name uncultured bacterium. RNAcentral's name for it is "partial 16S ribosomal RNA". It matches the Rfam family "Bacterial small subunit ribosomal RNA", at positions 30 to 507 of the family's 1533-position model. The record is from RNAcentral.
AUUGAACGCUGGCGGCAUGCCUUACACAUGCAAGUCGAACGGUAACGGGCCUUCGGGUGCCGACGAGUGGCGAACGGGUGAGUAAUGCAUCGGAACGUGCCCGAUCGUGGGGGAUAACGAGGCGAAAGCUUUGCUAAUACCGCAUACGAUCUACGGAUGAAAGCAGGGGACCGCAAGGCCUUGCGCGGACGGAGCGGCCGAUGGCAGAUUAGGUAGUUGGUGGGAUAAAAGCUUACCAAGCCGACGAUCUGGAGCUGGUCUGAGAGGAUGAUCAGCCACACUGGGACUGAGACACGGCCCAGACUCCUACGGGAGGCAGCAGUGGGGAAUUUUGGACAAUGGGCGCAAGCCUGAUCCAGCCAUGCCGCGUGCAGGAUGAAGGCCUUCGGGUUGUAAACUGCUUUUGUACGGAACGAAAAGCCUUCUUUUAAUACAGGAGGGUCAUGACGGUACCGUAAGAAUAAGCACCGGCUAACUACGUG